UACGUAGGGCGCAAGCGUUAUCCGGAAUUAUUGGGCGUAAAGAGCUUGUAGGCGGUUUGUCGCGUCUGCUGUGAAAAUCCGGGGCUCAACCCCGGACUUGCAGUGGGUACGGGCAGACUGGAGUGUGGUAGGGGAGACUGGAAUUCCUGGUGUAGCGGUGGAAUGCGCAGAUAUCAGGAGGAACACCGAUGGCGAAGGCAGGUCUCUGGGCCACUACUGACGCUGAGAAGCGAAAGCAUGGGGAGCGAACAGG
This 253-nucleotide ribosomal RNA is filed under the name uncultured bacterium. RNAcentral's name for it is "partial 16S ribosomal RNA". It matches the Rfam family "Bacterial small subunit ribosomal RNA", at positions 524 to 776 of the family's 1533-position model. The record is from RNAcentral.